Molecule: long non-coding RNA, 1367 nt
Filed under: Vitis vinifera (wine grape)
Lineage: Eukaryota; Viridiplantae; Streptophyta; Magnoliopsida; Vitales; Vitaceae
Description: long non-coding RNA (VVIN_LNC002407)
Source: RNAcentral
AACAGCUUAGCUGAUCUUUAUCUCUUUUCAAGACCGAUAAAAGGUUUAUGCACCAUCGUUUCAUCCAGCAUAAAGUGUGUUUGUGGGAGUAUUCAUAUACUAAAGUUGUUCCAAGCAAUAGAAUAUAUCCUUCAACAAUUCCUCCAUUUUCAGUCUGACCAAGCAGGAGAUAAAAACUGAGAGGGGCUCCAUCAAAAACGUUGAAAGACAAACAAACAACUACCACGUUGUCCUAUAAACAAUUGUAAGUGGCUACAGGUAAUCAACCAAUAUAAAAUGCUUUAUCAACUUUUUUUUUUCCUUUAAUUUUUUAAUUUUUUUCCUGGUCAAAAAUAUUGACGUGUGUGUACAUGUGAUUCAUUCAGCUGCUUAAGAUAAAGCUAAUCCUUGAGACAAAGAAAGAAUUGAUGGGUCUGAUCUUUGACGUUUCAAUGGAAGCCAUGAUUAUGGGGGCAUUAGGGGGGCUGAGGAGGGUGUGAGGGCCACAUAUUCAUCUCCAUGCAGUGGAUCAUUGAGGAAUCCCAGGGGAGGUGCCUUCACAUUGGACUACAAACUUCCUUUUCUCUGUAGCUCCCAUCAAAACCUGCAGGGACAGUUUGCCUCAUCAAAUAGCAUCCCACUACAACAAGUUGAAAGUUGCCAAAGGUGAAAGCAAUCAUCUUUCCUUUUCUAUCGAAACAUGUACCAUUACAAGCAUCUUUGGUUGCAGAGAAAAUGAGACAUAAAUCAGUGUGAUAAUAAAGCAUGCCUCUUAUAAUAUAUUACCAGUGGUAAGAAGUUGUUUGGGCGGAAAGGCCGAAAGGGACUCUCGAGAAUUUGUCAAAGCGGACAAUUCUGAUGAGAUAUUGACGUGGUAAAUGAAAAUAGCUCCAAAACCCACAAAUAAGUAAGCUUAUUGGCCAUGGAAAGACUGUACAUUGAGAAAGUGGCAGCCCAUCAAAUGAGGCCAGAAGAGCAUGAUCCAUUCAAGCGCCCGUUGCUGCCUCCUCAAAGUGGGAUGGAAUCGAUUGCAGACAUGUAUAUUGAGUCCAGACUCAGCCUUGCUUCAGACAAGAUCCUAUGACGUGUCCCCUUGUAAAAUUCAAAGUUGUGAAUGAAAAAGGUCUUUAUAUAUUCCUGAUAAUGGCGCUCCGAAUCAGAAUGAGAGGAGUUUGUAGAGGGGACUUAACAGAGCCAAGCCAACAGAAGAGAGGGAAGAUCUAUUUUGGGUUCAUCUUGGGUCUCACUGGGCCUUCACAAACAUCAUAUCAAACCAUGGGAAAAGGAAACAAUUUCAAAAAAUGGCCCCACAAGCUGAUAAGUCUUCAUUAUUUUCUGUCUUCAUAUAAUUUAUGUUAAGAAUCUUGAGAUCAGUCUGGAGGUGGAAG